Macrobrachium nipponense is the source of this 840-nucleotide long non-coding RNA. RefSeq lists it as uncharacterized. The record is from RefSeq and is a predicted model, not a curated record. Lineage: Eukaryota; Metazoa; Arthropoda; Malacostraca; Decapoda; Palaemonidae. The transcript has 3 exons.
AGGAGUAUAUGCUAAGGAAUUUCUUGGUAAACGGUUGCAGUUUGGACCCCUACAAGCUGAAAAAAUUCUUGCAGGCAGCCGACAAGUGACUGUGGAAGAGGAGAUUCAAGAGAGGUUUGGGAUUGUUUUUAAGAUUACACAGGAAGAAGGUGAUUAUCUUCUUUCUUGGAUACACAGCAAGAAGAACGCAGCAACUGGAUGAUAUUUGUGCGUCCAGCAGAAAAGAAAUCUGAGCAGAACUUGGUUGCUUUUCAGUAUAAAGGAGAAAUAUAUUUUGCUACAAUAAAGGAAAUAUCACCACAAUGUGAACUUAAAGUAUGGUUUUCAAAGGACUAUGCUGAGAGGAUGGGAACAAGAAUCCUAGCUGGUGAGUGCAUUUAAAAAGAUUAAUUUAACCUUUUUUGAGUUCCUUGUUGGACGAGUGGGUUAAGUGCUCGCCUAUUGAUUCAGUAGUCCCGAGUCCGAUUCCCCGCUCUGCCAAUGUGGAAUCAGAGGAACUUGUUUCUGGUGAUUAGAAAUUUAUCUAUAUAAUGUGGUUCAGAACUCACAAUAAGCUGUAGGUCCCUUUGCUAGGUAACCAAUUGAUUCCUAGCCACGUAAAGAUAUCUAAUCCUUCGGGCCAGCCCAAGGAGUUCUGUUAAUCAGCUCAGUGGUCUGGUUAAACUAAGAUAUACAUAACUUAACCUUUUGGGAAAUUUAAGGGGUGGUGUGUAACCAUAUAUUUCAUGCUACUGUAAUGAACUUGGUGUUAUUUUAAAGCGUAAGAGCUGAACUUGAUCAUGACAUGUAUAAAAAUGGCAGAAAAUAAAAAACUAAUAUCAUGAGUAAAAGCAUAAUGUA